This 466-nucleotide ribosomal RNA is filed under the name uncultured bacterium. RNAcentral describes it as "bacterial SSU rRNA". It matches the Rfam family "Bacterial small subunit ribosomal RNA", at positions 917 to 1382 of the family's 1533-position model. The record is from RNAcentral.
GGACCCGCACAAGCAGCGGAGCAUGUGGUUUAAUUCGAUGCAACGCGAAAAACCUUACCAAGGCUUGACAUAGGAUGCAUAGUCAUGAAAGUGAUAAAGUUAUAGCAAUAUAACAUCCAUACAGAUGGUGCAUGGUUGUCGUCAGCUCGUGUCGUGAGAUGUUGGGUUAAGUCCCGCAACGAGCGCAACCCUUGUCAUUAGUUGCCAGCAUUAAGUUGGGGACUCUAGUGAGACUGCCGUAGAUAAUACGGAGGAAGGUGGGGAUGACGUCAAAUCAUCAUGCCUCUUACGCCUUGGGCUACACACGUGCUACAAUGGCCAUUACAAAGAGACGCAAUACCGCGAGGUGGAGCAAAACUCAAAAAAUGGUCUCAGUUCAGAUUGUAGGCUGCAACCCGCCUACAUGAAGUUGAAGUUGCUAGUAAUCCCGAAUCAGCAUGUCGGGGUGAAUGCGUUCCCGGGUCUU